GUCGACGGCCUUGGGAGUACGGCCGCAAGGUUAAAACUCAAAUGAAUUGACGGGGGCCCGCACAAGCGGUGGAGCAUGUGGUUUAAUUCGAUGCAACGCGAAGAACCUUACCUGGUCUUGACAUCCACGGAAGUUUUCAGAGAUGAGAAUGUGCCUUCGGGAACCGUGAGACAGGUGCUGCAUGGCUGUCGUCAGCUCGUGUUGUGAAAUGUUGGGUUAAGUCCCGCAACGAGCGCAACCCUUAUCCUUUGUUGCCAGCGGUCCGGCCGGGAACUCAAAGGAGACUGCCAGUGAUAAACUGGAGGAAGGUGGGGAUGACGUCAAGUCAUCAUGGCCCUUACGACCAGGGCUACACACGUGCUACAAUGGCGCAUACAAAGAGAAGCGACCUCGCGAGAGCAAGCGGACCUCAUAAAGUGCGUCGUAGUCCGGAUUGGAGUCUGCAACUCGACUCCAUGAAGUCGGAAUCGCUAGUAAUCGUGGAUCAGAAUGCCACGGUGAAUACGUUCCCGGGCCUUGUACACACCGCCCGUCACACCAUGGGAGUGGGUUGCAAAAGAAGUAGGUAGCUUAACCUUCGGGAGGGCGCUUACCACUUUGUGAUUCAUGACUGGGGUGAAGUCGUAACAAGGUAACCGUAGGGGAACCUGCGGUUGGAUCACCUCCUUACCUUAAAGAAGC
Molecule: ribosomal RNA, 681 nt
Filed under: Shigella sonnei
Lineage: Bacteria; Pseudomonadati; Pseudomonadota; Gammaproteobacteria; Enterobacterales; Enterobacteriaceae
Description: bacterial SSU rRNA
Rfam family: Bacterial small subunit ribosomal RNA
Source: RNAcentral